UACGUAGGGACCAAGCGUUGUUCGGAUUUACUGGGCGUAAAGGGCGCGUAGGCGGCAAAUUAAGUCAUCUGUGAAAUCUCCGAGCUUAACUCGGAACGGUCAGGUGAUACUGAUCUGCUAGAGUGCGGAAGGGGCAAUCGGAAUUCUUGGUGUAGCGGUGAAAUGCGUAGAUAUCAAGAGGAACACCUGAGGUGAAGACGGGUUGCUGGGCCGACACUGACGCUGACAGCGCGAAAGCCAGGGGAGCAAACGGGAUUAGAUACCCCGGUAGUCCUGGCCUUAAACGAUGAAUACUUGGUGUCUGGAGUCUCUAUAGCUCCGGGUGCCGUCGCUAACGUUUUUAGUAUUCCGCCUGGGGAGUACGCACGCAAGUGUGAA
This 378-nucleotide ribosomal RNA is filed under the name uncultured bacterium. RNAcentral's name for it is "bacterial SSU rRNA". It matches the Rfam family "Bacterial small subunit ribosomal RNA", at positions 524 to 898 of the family's 1533-position model. The record is from RNAcentral.